AAAAGGACACAACAAAUAUAACGCCCAAAAAUCUGAGAGUGCUGAAGAGCAAAGAAAAAUCCAACGACCCCUGAAUCGUCUUCUUCACCUCUCACACCCAAAACCAAAAAACCUUAGAACAACCCUAAGAGCUCCCACCGACAUCUCUUCCCCAUUGAUCCGCCAACCUAAUUCACCUACACCAAACAACCCACCAGCGGCGGCCUCUACCAUCUCUAGCAUCCUAACCAUUCCCCCUCUCUUUGAGAAUUCAAUCUCCCAAUCAUCUUUUGAGAGAUAACAAGCGAAAGACAACCAGCCACACAAAGAAAUAUGGGAAUGAGCACAAUCUGUAGAUAGCAUAAACAAAAUUUGGACAGAAACUUUAGGUUCUUUAGGUUUCUAUCUUUUCUAAAUUUGGUUAAAAUUCUAGAAUUUCAAAAAAAUACAAAAGCAAAAAAUGAAAAUAUUCAUUCAUGUUUCUUCUUUUGGACUACCAUUCGAAAACCAUGAAGUUUGAUUAAGCUUGAGGUCAAUUUGAUUUUCUCCGAUUGGAUCGUCGUUCGAGGUCCAAGUUCGUGGGUUCCCGAUUCGCCUCACUACUGUCGUCUUCAUUCAGAUUUUCACCAUUUGUGAAGCUCUUUCAGAAGCUCUAUUUUUAAUAUUUUAAAGAAAGCUUGCUUAACGGGUUCUUUCUUGAUUUGUUCUUGUCUAUUUAAGUUUAUUUAAUUUGAAUCUUUUUCCGCUACAUGCCCUGUUUUACUUCUGUAAUUAAAUGUUUAUAAUGUUGACUCUGUUUGGUUUAGAUAUGUUGGGUUACAAUUUUUAGUUACCCUUAAGAGCUACUGCUUUGAAGUCUUCCUUAGGCAUAUAAUCUCUUAUAUGAAAUUUAAGUGUCAGUGAAGCAACUUGUGAGGCUUUACCUAAUAUGAAUUUCAUGUACUAGUGGAAGAAAGUUUAAGAAAAGAUUUAUAUGAUAAGAAAUCAAUUUUCCUGUCUUCAUUUAGUUUAGUAUUCUG
RNAcentral lists this long non-coding RNA (998 nucleotides) under Nicotiana benthamiana. RNAcentral's name for it is "long non-coding RNA (NBEN_LNC003043)". Lineage: Eukaryota; Viridiplantae; Streptophyta; Magnoliopsida; Solanales; Solanaceae. The record is from RNAcentral.